UACGUAGGGGGCAAGCGUUGUCCGGAAUUAUUGGGCGUAAAGAGCGCGUAGGCGGUCCGGUAAGUCCGCUGUAAAAGUCAAAGGCUCAACCUUUGAAUGUCAGUGGAUACUGCCGGGCUAGAGUUCGGAAGAGGCGAGUGGAACUCCUGGUGUAGCGGUGGAAUGCGCAGAUAUCAGGAAGAACACCAACGGCGAAGGCAGCUCGCUAGGACGGUACUGACGCUGAGACGCGAAAGCGUGGGGAGCGAACAGG
Molecule: ribosomal RNA, 253 nt
Filed under: uncultured bacterium
Lineage: Bacteria
Description: partial 16S ribosomal RNA
Rfam family: Bacterial small subunit ribosomal RNA
Source: RNAcentral